Molecule: ribosomal RNA, 296 nt
Filed under: Mycobacterium tuberculosis
Lineage: Bacteria; Bacillati; Actinomycetota; Actinomycetes; Mycobacteriales; Mycobacteriaceae
Description: partial 16S ribosomal RNA
Rfam family: Bacterial small subunit ribosomal RNA
Source: RNAcentral
UUGUUUGGAGAGUUUGAUCCUGGCUCAGGACGAACGCUGGCGGCGUGCUUAACACAUGCAAGUCGAACGGAAAGGUCUCUUCGGAGAUACUCGAGUGGCGAACGGGUGAGUAACACGUGGGUGAUCUGCCCUGCACUUCGGGAUAAGCCUGGGAAACUGGGUCUAAUACCGGAUAGGACCACGGGAUGCAUGUCUUGUGGUGGAAAGCGCUUUAGCGGUGUGGGAUGAGCCCGCGGCCUAUCAGCUUGUUGGUGGGGUGACGGCCUACCAAGGCGACGACGGGUAGCCGGCCUGAG